AAGGUUUCCGUAGGUGAACCUGCGGAAGGAUCAUUACCACACCUAAAAACUUUCCACGUGAACCGUUAUAACUAUGUUCUGUGCUUCGUCGCAAGACUUGAGGCUGAACGAAGGUGAGUCUGCGUCUAUUUUGGAUGCGGAUUUGCUGAUGUUAUUUUAAACACCUAUUACUUAAUACUGAACUAUACUCCGAAUACGAAAGUUUUUGGUUUUAACAAUUAACAACUUUCAGCAGUGGAUGUCUAGGCUCGCACAUCGAUGAAGAACGCUGCGAACUGCGAUACGUAAUGCGAAUUGCAGAAUUCAGUGAGUCAUCGAAAUUUUGAACGCAUAUUGCACUUUCGGGUUAUGCCUGGAAGUAUGCCUGUAUCAGUGUCCGUACAUCAAACUUGCCUUUCUUUUUUUGUGUAGUCAAAAUUAGAGAUGGCAGAAUGUGAGGUGUCUCGCGCUGUCUUUUUAAAGAUGGUUCGAGUCCCUUUAAAUGUACGUUGAUUCUUUCUUGUGUCUGCGAAUUGCGAUGCUAUGCUCUUUGUGAUCGGUUUAGAUUGCUUUGCGCUGGUGGGCGACUUCGGUUAGGACAUAUGGAAGCAACCUCAAUUGGCGGUAUGUUCGGCUUUGCCUGACGUUAAGCUAAGCGAGUGUGGUUUUCUGUCUUUUCCUUGAGGUGUACCUGUCGUGUGUGAGGUUGAUUUAGGCUAUAUGGUUGCUUGGUUGUGUGGUUUAGCGUUUUCAGACGCCUGCUUCGGUAGGUAAAGGAGACAACACCAAUUUGGGACUGAGAGUUUACUCUCUUUUUCACUUUGGACCUGAUAUCAGGUAAGACUACCCGCUGAACUUAAGCAU
RNAcentral lists this ribosomal RNA (843 nucleotides) under Pythium oligandrum. RNAcentral describes it as "eukaryotic LSU rRNA". The stretch from base 224 to 378 matches the Rfam family "5.8S ribosomal RNA". The record is from RNAcentral. Lineage: Eukaryota; Oomycota; Peronosporomycetes; Pythiales; Pythiaceae.